This 429-nucleotide ribosomal RNA is filed under the name bacterium. RNAcentral's name for it is "partial 16S ribosomal RNA". It matches the Rfam family "Bacterial small subunit ribosomal RNA", at positions 355 to 776 of the family's 1533-position model. The record is from RNAcentral.
UGGGGAAUUUUGGACAAUGGGGGCAACCCUGAUCCAGCAAUGCCGCGUGUGUGAAGAAGUCCUUCGGGUUGUAAAGCACUUUUGUCCGGGAAGAAAUCGCACCUGAUAAUACCGGGUGUGGAUGACGGUACCGGAAGAAUAAGGACCGGCUAACUACGUGCCAGCAGCCGCGGUAAUACGUAGGGUCCAAGUGUUAAUCGGAAUUACUGGGCGUAAAGCGUGCGCAGGCGGUUGUGCAAGACCGAUGUGAAAUCCACGGGCUUAACCUGGGAAUUGCAUUGGUGACUGCACGGCUAGAGUGUGUCAGAGGGGGGUAGAAGUCCACGUGUAGCAGUGGAAAGCGUAGAAAUGUGGAGGAAUACCGAUGGCGAAGGCAGCCCCCUGGGAUAACACUGACGCUCAUGCACGAAAGCGUGGGGAGCAAAAAAG